Myodes glareolus (Bank vole) is the source of this 1703-nucleotide RNA transcript. RefSeq lists it as uncharacterized. NCBI's taxonomy places the organism in Eukaryota, Metazoa, Chordata, Mammalia, Rodentia, Cricetidae. The record is from RefSeq and is a predicted model, not a curated record.
GUUCACUCUCCUUGCUCCUUCUCUGCUCUUAUCAGAUGGGAAAGAAGGCUUGAGGUCACCGUUCCCUUUCUACACGAGACUCGGGUUUGAUGCGUGCUAAGGUAUUUUAGAAAUCACCUUUGUGUGCUAGCCGGAUCUGACUGGGAAGCUACGCAGGGUCCUGUUCUCAGGAAAUGUGAUAAACUGGCGACUGGGAAGAUCUUCCCUGGCAGAACUGGAAUCCCAUCACUCCGUCUGGUUCUCAGAUACUAAAACGAUGAACGAAAAUGAAAGAAAAUGGGUAUAUAACAAGGAAGUUAAGACUCCAAAGUAGAAGAAAGGAAAGCCUUCCGCUUUGCUCUGCUGUGGUCUUUCCAGGUCCAUUUUUCUGCUCCAGCUUAAUGAUGCAUUUUAAGGAGAGCCAUGUACUCCCUGUCUUUAUACUCAGACUGCAGCAAGUAUCGGCCCAGCCACCCUUUCAGAUCCACUUCAAGGAAACACAGGCUAGAAACUGCUCCCCGUGGUUUUGUCUGAACUGGCUGACGCCCCGCCGCACACACUGGGUCCACGGCUGGAGUCGGGAACCUAGAGAUGACCUCACUCCAUCUAGGCUUGUAAGACAAGAAAGGCCGCCCUUCUCCGGAAUUGCUUUGCAGUGUCCCAAGCCUGCUUCUUUGCAGAGAGGCUCAACACAAAAUAUCCUCAAGAAAAGAUGAAACUUGGUGUAGCUUCACAUAACUGUGAAAUUUUGAAUUCUGAAAGUGCCCUACUCCAAAGGGCCACAGGAACUUGGAAGAGAUAAACAGAGGGAAUUCUUCUUGUGUGUCUCUUCAGAUUCCUUGGACCCGGCUGACCAGCCUGUGUUUGUAUACAUUUAAGUCUCCGGGGUCCCUCUUUCCUGGAUCUUUCUUCACACCCUAGAUUUUUAGUCUAUCCCAGAGCUUAUCUGGGAGAAGACGUACUGCCUCCUGGACUGUGUCAGACAGUCACAGAGUACAGACUUCAAACCGACCUUCAUACCAUUUUGGUUGGAAAUAGAACCACUGGAGGCUCAUCAUGUUACAGUCAGCAAAAUGGAAACGAAUCAAGAGGUUUAGAAUGCCAGUGGUCAAGCCAUUCGUUAGUAAAGUUUUGUAAAGGAAGUCUCCUGUAUGGUGUAAGUUGUCUGCUGGAAAACCAAUAUUGCUCUCUGGAGGCUGCACGGUGAGUUACCUGUUUUCUCUACAGGCAUCUACUCCCUAUGUGCUCAAGGCUAUCACUCUGCAUGAGAUACCAGUGAGGAGAAGACAGAAAUGCAGAUAAAAUUUGGGAGUUUGGACUCAAAGAUCCAAUACUGGACAGAGAGCAACAAACAUCUGGCAAAGCAUCUUGAAAAUCUGGAUGAACAAUUUCUAAAAGUAUUCAUCUGUUGUAUCCUAUAGCUUAAAUCACUAUACAUUUUUCCUAAAAAUUUGUAUCUUACUUGAGAAUAUGUCAUAACUUUUCCAGUGUUAAGAUAUUAGAGACACUGGACAUUGUAUGCUGUGUCUGUGACCUGUUUCAAUAUGGAUGAGCCAACAAUGGCUAUCUUUGUCUUGAGUAUUGUCCAUGUAAUUGAAAAUGUGCCAACUCCCUUUAAAACAUCAUCAACAGACUUCUUAAUUAAGCUGCCAAUACCAACGGUCAAUAACACUGUGUGCUGUUUGAGAAAUGAAUAAUGUUGCUUGAACCUUGUUAAAUAAACA